Molecule: long non-coding RNA, 663 nt
Organism: Camellia sinensis
Lineage: Eukaryota; Viridiplantae; Streptophyta; Magnoliopsida; Ericales; Theaceae
Source: RefSeq, a predicted model, not a curated record
UUAUCAAUGAAAAUCUCGUUUGAUUAAUUACACCAAGAUGCCAAAAAUCAGCAAGCAUUUAUUUCUUCAGUUUCAUAUCUCCAUAUAAUAUAUAUAUAUAUAGUCACCCGUGUAGAGAAACCAGACACUACACCAUAGAAAUUGUAUAGAAGGAGUUGCUAUAGAGAACUAUGAAGAAGUCUUCAUUCAUCUACUCGGCUUUGCUGGUUUUUCUGCUGGUCAUUUCAUCUGGAGUGCCUGAAGCAUAUGGGAGGAGCUUAGCAGAGGUAGCUGAAACCAAUCCAUGUGGUCCUACAUGCAAUGAAUGUAUCCAAGGGAAGUGCCUUUGUUAUAUAGGUCACUUGUGUCUAAGCAGCAGCAACACUGAUCAUCAAAACUCAAUUCCAAUUACUAAAACAGAGGAUGGUGCCUAGAAAAGGGCAGCUUGAUUGGCUGUGAUCAAGAAAUAUGUUUAAUUACAGCUUUUGUCUUCAACCUUCAGUCUAAAUGAAUAAAUAAUAAUGGAACAAAGUCUUUUGAUUAAAGUUUCCACCAUUAUUUUAGAUUAUGGGUGUCAUUCUUUUUUCCCUUUCAGAUAUUAGUUGAUAUGUAUUUUUUGUUUUUUUUUAUCUUUUAUUAUGGAUACACUCCAACAUAUCGACGAGAAUGAAAAUUAAAUGUGUA